UGCGUUAUAAUUGCUUUCGUUGGACUUUCCGCAAUUUUCCAUACCAAAUUUCGGUUCAUUGCCCCCAAAACACAAAUAUUUUGGCCCGAAAACAGAAAUAUUUCGCCCGAAAAAAUGACUGGGGCCCAUUAAAUUUCUAACAUUAAAUUUCUAGGGGCCCCAGAGCCUCGGGGCCCGGGGCAAUUUGCCCCCCUGCCCCCCACCCC
Molecule: non-coding RNA, 206 nt
Organism: Paramuricea clavata
Lineage: Eukaryota; Metazoa; Cnidaria; Anthozoa; Malacalcyonacea; Plexauridae
Source: the annotation of a GenBank genome assembly